RNAcentral lists this small nuclear RNA (148 nucleotides) under Prolemur simus (greater bamboo lemur). Its description in RNAcentral is "U1 spliceosomal RNA (ENSPSMG00000014636.1)". It matches the Rfam family "U1 spliceosomal RNA". From Rfam's summary of the family: U1 is a small nuclear RNA (snRNA) component of the spliceosome (involved in pre-mRNA splicing). Its 5' end forms complementary base pairs with the 5' splice junction, thus defining the 5' donor site of an intron. There are significant differences in sequence and secondary structure between metazoan and yeast U1 snRNAs, the latter being much longer (568 nucleotides as compared to 164 nucleotides in human). The record is from Rfam by way of RNAcentral. Lineage: Eukaryota; Metazoa; Chordata; Mammalia; Primates; Lemuridae.
AUAUUUACUUGGCAGGGUAGAUAACAUGAUCAUGAAAGUGGUUUUCCUAGGGUAGGGCUUAUCUCUCGAUAUGCUGACCCCUGCAGUAUCCCCAAACAUGGGAAACUCAACUGCAUAAUUUUUGGUAGUAGGGCAUUGCAUUCACUAC